Molecule: ribosomal RNA, 398 nt
Filed under: Rhodobacter sp. R-41594
Lineage: Bacteria; Pseudomonadati; Pseudomonadota; Alphaproteobacteria; Rhodobacterales
Description: bacterial SSU rRNA
Rfam family: Bacterial small subunit ribosomal RNA
Source: RNAcentral
GGCUCAGAGCGAACGCUGGCGGAAUGCUUAACACAUGCAAGUCGCACGGUCAGCAAUGGCAGUGGCGGACGGGUGAGUAACGCGUAGGAAUAUGUCCAGAGGUGGGGGACAACCCCGGGAAACUGGGGCUAAUACCGCAUAUGAGCUGAGGCUCAAAGCAGUGAUGCGCCUUUGGAGUAGCCUGCGUCCGAUUAGCUUGUUGGUGGGGUAAUGGCCUACCAAGGCGACGAUCGGUAGCUGGUCUGAGAGGACGACCAGCCACACUGGGACUGAGACACGGCCCAGACUCCUACGGGAGGCAGCAGUGGGGAAUAUUGGACAAUGGGCGCAAGCCUGAUCCAGCAAUUCCGCGUGGGUGAAGAAGGUCUUCGGAUUGUAAAGCCCUUUCGACGGGGACG